UUCAGCAUUGCAUUAGUAUACAAGAGACUGACGCCACCAGUGCUUUAUUUGCUUUUAGUAUAAAUUUCGUGGUACUACUUAAAAAUUAGGGGGAAAAAAAUCUGUGGGACAUGACAAAGGCUGCACAAAGGCUUUAACACUUUAGGGCACACACACCACCACAUAUCACAAAAGGCACAGAAGAAGGUAUCUUUUUUACAUGUCCUUUGAAUGUCCAGUCUGAUAGCAGGUGUUUGGGUGCACCAAAGCACACACACAGCUGUGUUUGCCUGUGUGUGCCUCUGACGCUACACACGCCGCUGAGGCCCGGCACAAGCUGCACGUCCCUGUGUACUUCAGGACAUUGGAAAACUUAUACCGUAGGAACUUCUGAACAGGAAGGCAUACAAAUGAUAAACUCUAACUGCAAGUUGCCUUUUGUUCCACUGAGAAAGGCUCCAUUAGGCAGCGGGGUGUGGGAAAACAAAAGCGCGACGCGCCCAGGCCGAGUCCGCGGCUGCGCGCGGGGCCGGGCGGGCAGAGCCCCUCAGCGCUGGCGCAGCUCCCCUCACGUAGGGCCGCAGUCCCGCGCCAGCGCAGCUCGGCUGCCACACACGGCACUUCUACAGUUACGGCCUUCCCAGAAAGACUCCUUUGCACUUGUACAGGCAGCGAAGAGGAGAAAAAUAAGCCCGCCCAAAGGAGGAGAUGCAGAUCUGCAGAAGAUUAUUUGUAAAGACUUCACUUGGAGGAUAGCAUGGAAGAUCUCCAGUACAGAAAAGCAGCUGAGGAAAAAAAAGUUUACUGAAUAGAACAAAAGUCAGUGCCUGCCAUUCUGUUGAUUUCUUGGAAGACUGGGACAGGUAAUUAACAGAGAGCCAAAAGCCAAGUAGAAAUCAGAAGUCCUGCACACAGGAACAAAGAAACAAGCUUAUACAAUGUUGAAAGGAACAACAAGCUAGAGUCAAAAUUUGGAAACAGCAGCUUAGUAAAGAGCAGUGGAUGAAGUCAUCAUGUAAUUCAAAAGUGGGAGAGAGAGUACCUCUGCAACAGCACUGUUCAAAGAUUGUUGAGACUAAUGUCAAAAAGAUAAUAACCCAAAGGAAGAGGUUGCAGUAGCUUAUGUGAUACAUGAGAAACUUCACAAAUUGUUAUGAAAUAAUUCUGGAAACGAAUGCAAAGAUUAAGUGAGAAAGAUACCUAACUAGAAACUUCCCCAACAUAUAGAACUCUACUUUCCAAAAAUCAUCAUGUGGUUCCAAUGGCUUUUCUUUUUUAAACAAAACAGCAAUUCAAAAUAAUCUCCAGUAAAAAGAAUAUUUGAGAAGCUGGACAAAGGGAAGAGUCGAAAAUGGCUCUAGGAUUAUGUGACUGUAGCAAUAGUGUAACAAACUCACUGCCACCACAGAGUAGGUUCAGGGAAGGGAAGGUUGGCCAGUGAUGGGGGCUAACACUGAGCAUCAGCAGUGGGAGAUCCAGAAGAUGUCAGAAAGAGAUUUACAGGUGUAACACUGAGCAGAAUGAGAAGAUGCCAGAUUUUUGGAGUUAUUUGUGGGAAACCAAAUGGUAGUUGAAAUCAAAAGUUUCCUUAAGGUCCCAAAGAGUAGAACAACAAGAGAAGUGCAAAGUGACAAUGGCCGGGGAAGAACUUCACAGAGCAAUUGAUUAAAAGAAGAAAAAAAAUAGUUCUUAAGUGUGGGAAGUAGAGAGCCAUCAAUCACCUUUUUGUGAAUAUUGUGAGUGGACAGAAACCAUGGAAACUGAAGAGAUGAAAGAGGAAGCUGAGGCAACACAAACAGCUUUAGGAACUGAGAGGAAAAUAUGAAAAUUGACAUAGACAUAAAGGGAGAAGCACAAGGAUGAUAGAUGAUGUGCUGUACUGUAGGUGUUACAUAUGAACCGUCCACAACUGAAACGGGAGCAAUUCCUGUUUUAUGUGACAUUGACGAAGAAAUUUGGUUUGACCUGUAACAGUUCUCUCCUGUUUUGGAACAUUUCAAUUUAGUAACAAUAAAAAUCCCUAUGAAUCCUAAAUGCAA
Long non-coding RNA from Parus major (Great Tit), 2018 nucleotides. RefSeq lists it as uncharacterized. The record is from RefSeq and is a predicted model, not a curated record. Lineage: Eukaryota; Metazoa; Chordata; Aves; Passeriformes; Paridae. The transcript has 2 exons.